AGUGGGGAAUUUUGGACAAUGGGCGAAAGCCUGAUCCAGCAAUGCCGCGUGAGUGAAGAAGGCCUUCGGGUUGUAAAGCUCUUUCAGUCGAGAAGAAAAGGUUAUGACUAAUAAUCGUAAUCAAUGACGGUAUCGACAGAAGAAGCACCGGCUAACUACGUGCCAGCAGCCGCGGUAAUACGUAGGGUGCGAGCGUUAAUCGGAAUUACUGGGCGUAAAGGGUGCGCAGGCGGUUUUGUAAGUCAGAUGUGAAAUCCCCGGGCUUAACCUGGGAAUUGCGUUUGAAACUACAAAACUAGAGUGUGGCAGAGGGAGGUGGAAUUCCAUGUGUAGCAGUGAAAUGCGUAGAGAUAUGGAAGAACAUCGAUGGCGAAGGCAGCCUCCUGGGUUAACACUGACGCUCAUGCACGAAAGCGUGGGGAGCAAA
RNAcentral lists this ribosomal RNA (427 nucleotides) under uncultured Nitrosomonas sp. Its description in RNAcentral is "bacterial SSU rRNA". It matches the Rfam family "Bacterial small subunit ribosomal RNA", at positions 353 to 772 of the family's 1533-position model. Lineage: Bacteria; Pseudomonadati; Pseudomonadota; Betaproteobacteria; Nitrosomonadales; Nitrosomonadaceae. The record is from RNAcentral.